Molecule: ribosomal RNA, 1438 nt
Filed under: human gut metagenome
Description: bacterial LSU rRNA
Rfam family: Bacterial large subunit ribosomal RNA
Source: RNAcentral
UACACAGACAGUGAGGAUGUUGGCUUAGAAGCAGCCACCAUUUAAAAAAUGCGUAAUAGCUUACUCAUCGAGUGAUCCUGCGCCGAAAAUGAUUGGCGAUCAAGCGUUAUACCGAAGCUCUGGACUUUGCCGCAAGGCAGAGUGGUAGAAGAGCGUUGCAUGCGCGUCGAAGGGCGAUGGCGACUGACCCUGGAGCACAUGCAAGUGAGUAUGCAGACAUGAGUAACGUUAAGCCGGGUGAAAUCCCCGGCCGCCGUAAACCCGAGGUUUCCAGGGCAACGUGUUUCGUCCCUGGGUUAGCCGGGACCUAAGCCGAGGCCGAGAGGCGUAGGCGAUGGACAUCAGGUUAAUAAUCCUGAGCUCGCAACCCUUAAACUGGGGGGACGCAUGAGAAAAGAUGACUAGGUUAUUGAAUUCCGAGUUGAGUCCACGGACUCAGCGCAUCAUUGGAUCGAGUGCCAAGAAAAGCCCCAGCGUAUGCUAAGCGACCCGUACCGCAAACCGACACAGGUGGGUGGGUAGAAUAUACCAAGGCGUAAGAGUGAAACCUGGUUAAGGAACUCGGCAAAUUAGCCCCGUAACUUCGGAAGAAGGGGUGCCUGCAGCGAUGCAGGCCGCAGAGAAAUGGCCCAACCGACUGUUUAUCAAAAACACAGCACUCUGCAAAGACGCAAGUCGAAGUAUAGGGUGUGACACGUGACCAAUGCCGAAAGAUUAAGGCAAGGGGUUAGCCGCAAGGCGAAGCUCUAAACCCAAGUCCCGGUGAAUGUCGGCCGUAACUAUAACGGUCCUAAGGUAGCGAAAUUCCUUGUCGGGUAAGUUCCGACCUGCACGAAUCGUGAAACGAGUUGGGCACUGUCUCAACCAGGCGCUCAGUGAAAUUGUAGUGGCGGUGAAGAUGCCGCCUACCCGCAGAAGGACGGAAAGACCCUAUAGACCUUAACUGUAAGCUGUCAUUGUUUCUUCGGUUUUAAUGCUCAGAGUAAGUGGGAGACGCUGAAGACGCCCUUUAGGGGGCGUCCGAGUCAUCAAUGAGACACCACCCUUUGAAACUGGAGGAUCUAACCCUGAGCCGUGAAUCCGGCCAGAGGACCGUGUCAGCCGGUCAGUUUUACUGGGGCGGUAUCCUCCCAAAGAGUAACGGAGGAGCGCGAAGGUGGGCUCAGCCCGGUUGGCAACCGGGUGUCGAGUGCAUGGGCAUAAGCCCGCCUAACUGUGAGACCAACAAGUCGAGCAGAUGCGAAAGCAGGCCCAAGUGAUCCGGCGGUAGAAAGUGGAAUUGCCGUCGCUCAACGGAUAAAAGGUACCUUAGGGAUAACAGGCUGAUCACGCCCAAGAGUUCAUAUCGACGGCGUGGUUUGGCACCUCGAUGUCGGCUCGUCGCAUCCUGGGGCUGGAGAAGGUCCCAAGGGUUGGGCUGUUCGCCCAUUAAAGUGGC